This is a long non-coding RNA of Lagopus muta (rock ptarmigan), 2777 nucleotides long. RefSeq lists it as uncharacterized. NCBI's taxonomy places the organism in Eukaryota, Metazoa, Chordata, Aves, Galliformes, Phasianidae. The transcript is spliced from 5 exons. The record is from RefSeq and is a predicted model, not a curated record.
UGUUACAUGAGGAAUGGUUUGAAAACAGGAGCUUUCAGGGCUGUCAGUACAAUGGUUCCCUAUGACCCAACCCACACAUGUGCCCAGCACCAUGCCUGCAGUGGUCAUGUGAAGGGAAGGACCAACACUGAGCACUCACAAAACGUCUGUUGUGCUUUCUCAAACUGUUGCCAUAACAUGCUAAUAGCUAUUUUAUGAUCUUACUAAAUAAUAAUUAAAAUUCCUAGUACCUGUCUCAGCUGAUUAAGGUAAUUAUGGUGCUUCCUAGUACGGCAGUACCUCAGAUUACUGUUGCUGUUUGCUUCUCUUGCCAAGAAUAAACCAGGAAUUUUUGCAUGGCCUCAUUCAGGAACCAUUGCAGUUAGAUACAAAUUUGCAUGCGUGCAGUUGUGCUCAUUUUGUACUGCUUUCAGUGACCAGCGUGCAAUGAUAGGUCACUAAAUGUCAUUCCCUGAUUCGUGUAGAUGCAUUAGGAACUUGCAUCAAAAGCAAACAAAUCAAAGAGAAAAAGCAGCUCUUCUUCCACGAAUCCGCUCCCACGUGCGAAGGGCGCUGUGUUUCCCACACCUCAGCCGGAUCGGUGCAGCUGGUUGAGGCGGAACUCGCGGCUCUGCUCCGCACGAGCACCGGCGCUGCUGGAGGAGCUGCUCCCCAGGCGCGCGCCCCGCCGCUCCGCGCGCAGGCGAAGGUGUGAGGGCGGGGAGAUGCCGGUGCUCGCAGCUCGGCCCCGGCUUCUGUCCUCAAUGCACCGCGCCGCUACGGAUUUCUUGCGUCAUUUUGGGGGCUCUUAAGGAGCCGUCGAGGGUUUCUGAGACUCUGCAAUUCCGUCUCGACGCUUCCUGCGGCCGCUGGGUAUGGAGAGAAGCAGCUUUAGAAGAUGCUCUUGACAAAAAAAAAAACAUAUUUGUACGAAGUUUGCACUAGACAAAAAGUGAUGGAGCUGAAGACAAAUGGCAACACUAACUUCUCAAGGCACUCUUGACAGAAGUCUACACGCUGGAUAAACCCAAGUGUCCUCAGCCUCUCCUCAGAGGAAGUACCCUCCAGCCCUUUUAUCCGCUUUGUUGCCUACCUCUGCACACUUUCAAGGACCCAAACAUCAUUUUAAAUUGUGGAUUCCAGAACUGCAUGCAGUAUUCAAGAAAUAUCUUUGGCCUACAGAGUUCAGAUUGGAGAAGAUCCAGCCCAAAGGAGCAACAAAAAAGGUGAAUAACUUCACAAGGUAACCUGCUUCAGCAAGAGGUUGGAAUAGAUGACCUCUAGAGAUCCCUUCAGGCCUCUGUGAUUCUGUGAUUUGGUGUGAUUCUGUGUAUGUGUUGACCUGUUUGUUUUGAAAUUGAAAUUACUUUGCCUACUAAUGGUUUUCUACUGUUCACUUGGAGGGUUUUUUAAUGAUAUUUACUCCAUUUUUCAAACUUAAAUGAAUCUACACAUUUAGUUUAUACCUGAAAUACAGAACUUGUAUAAACAAUAGAAACCUAAAUUUAUUGCUUUCCUGUAAAACAAUCCUCUGUUUAUUAUAACUCUGUGGCAAAAAUGAUGGCUUGCUAUAGUGCUGCUCCUAAUAAAGACUCAAAUGUGUAGUAGUGCAUAAGGGACUUCUAACGAGCAUUCAAGGUUCUAAUACUUGCUAAUGUCCUUACUUGCUAUUAAUUCAUAAAUAUCCCCUUGAAAAUGAUAGCUGUUUCUCAUACAUGCAUUAAACGUUGCUUCUAGGUGUGUAUAUGAGCAAAUUCACUUCUCUAUGAUGUCUAAGAAAAUAGUGUUUGUGAGAUUUGUACCUUCUUAAGAUGUCCCUGGGGUUCCCGUAAUGAUUUUGCCUCCCUUGUAAUAUCUGCUGCAGAGCCAAAAUAUGGCAAAGAAAUUUCAGACAUCCGCUGGAACAAGCAUAUCACAGUAUCUGAAUUAAGGAGCUUUUUUAUAUUAAGAGCAUAUUUUAUAUAAAAAUAAUAUGAAAGCCAAAGGAUGGAAAUUGAGGAAUUUUAUUAUUUUUCCCAGUGUAAGAAGUAGUUAUAAAGGACAUUUUGUCUCUUAUUAUUGUCUCUUACUACUGACAGCAUUUUUGCCACUGUAAAUGAGUAAUAUUAUCUUGAAUAAUGAUUAUUUUUCUGUGAUUUCUGUAGUACAAGAUUUAUCUGUAAAAUCUAAUCUUGUUCAAAUAUUCCUAUAUCUGGACUACUAUCAGUACCUCUAGAACAGGAAGGAAAAAACAACAAGAACAACAAAAAAGCACCUAAAUAAUUCAUGUGACAUAAGAAAAGACAAAAGGUAAUUGAAAUUGAUGUUUAGUUGUCUGGGUGAUGAAGUGGAACAAAUUUCUUGUCUGUAUUAUCACUGAGAGGAAUCUGGGGCCUUUGUGGUUAACCACCCAUCCUGCAUGAGGAACAUGUGGCUCCUUCAGAAAGGCUCUAAGGGCUGAGCAGGUUUCCUCCCGGAUGUUCCUCUCUACUUAAUUGCAUUGUGGGUGACAUUUGUGGUCAGCAAGCCUUGAAAGAAACCUCAUUUUAACUCUCUAUAGGUAAAAUCAAUACAAUUUGUUUUGCAGCAUUUAAUCAGUUCUUUUCUUUGCUGUUACGCACUGCAGUGUAGGAUUCAAUUUUGGGGAAUUUUUUUUAAGUGAUUGAAGUUCUACCUAGUAGAAUGUAGUAGAUCUACUAUGAUUGCUGGCUUCAUGAAAGCAUCCUCAAGUUGUUGUACAUGAAGUUGUUAGGCUUUUAAGCAUUUGGUGAAAGAUGAAAGCUGAUCCCGUUUUUUGCAGCACUAUUUUUCUGACUGUG